Molecule: ribosomal RNA, 431 nt
Filed under: uncultured bacterium
Lineage: Bacteria
Description: partial 16S ribosomal RNA
Rfam family: Bacterial small subunit ribosomal RNA
Source: RNAcentral
CCUACGGGGGGCAGCAGUGGGGAAUCUUGCACAAUGGGGGCAACCCUGAUGCAGCGACGCCGCGUGAGCGAUGAAGCCCUUCGGGGUGUAAAGCUCUUUCGACCCGGAAGCGGUACGGGGAGAAGAAGCUGCGGCUAACUACGUGCCAGCAGCCGCGGUAAUACGUAGGCAGCGAGCGUUGUUCGGAGUUACUGGGCGUAAAGCGUGCGUAGGCGGCGGCCCAAGUCUGGUGUGAAAUCUCCCGGCUUAACCGGGAGGGUGCGCCGGAAACUGGGUUGCUGGAGUACCGGAGAGGCAGGCGGAAUUCCUGGUGUAGCGGUGAAAUGCGUAGAUAUCAGGAGGAACACCCGUGGUGUAGACGGCCUGCUGGCGUCACUGACGCUGAGGCACGAAAGCGUGGGGAGCAAACAGGAUUAGAUACCCUUGUAGUC